AUUGUGAUUCUAUGAGAUGCUUCCCAGUAAUAUCAUGGGUGAAACAAAUGAUUAAACAGUCUGGGAUGAAACAGUAA
This 77-nucleotide long non-coding RNA is filed under the name Monodelphis domestica (gray short-tailed opossum). Its description in RNAcentral is "lncRNA (ENSMODG00000047050.1)". The record is from RNAcentral. Lineage: Eukaryota; Metazoa; Chordata; Mammalia; Didelphimorphia; Didelphidae.